RNAcentral lists this ribosomal RNA (453 nucleotides) under Clostridium perfringens. RNAcentral describes it as "bacterial SSU rRNA". It matches the Rfam family "Bacterial small subunit ribosomal RNA", at positions 1 to 450 of the family's 1533-position model. The record is from RNAcentral. Lineage: Bacteria; Bacillati; Bacillota; Clostridia; Eubacteriales; Clostridiaceae.
UUAAAUUGAGAGUUUGAUCCUGGCUCAGGAUGAACGCUGGCGGCGUGCUUAACACAUGCAAGUCGAGCGAUGAAGUUUCCUUCGGGAAACGGAUUAGCGGCGGACGGGUGAGUAACACGUGGGUAACCUGCCUCAUAGAGUGGAAUAGCCUUCCGAAAGGAAGAUUAAUACCGCAUAACGUUGAAAGAUGGCAUCAUCAUUUAACCAAAGGAGCAAUCCGCUAUGAGAUGGACCCGCGGCGCAUUAGCUAGUUGGUGGGGUAACGGCCUACCAAGGCGACGAUGCGUAGCCGACCUGAGAGGGUGAUCGGCCACAUUGGGACUGAGACACGGCCCAGACUCCUACGGGAGGCAGCAGUGGGGAAUAUUGCACAAUGGGGGAAACCCUGAUGCAGCAACGCCGCGUGAGUGAUGAAGGUUUUCGGAUCGUAAAGCUCUGUCUUUGGGGAAGAUA